RNAcentral lists this ribosomal RNA (254 nucleotides) under uncultured bacterium. Its description in RNAcentral is "partial 16S ribosomal RNA". It matches the Rfam family "Bacterial small subunit ribosomal RNA", at positions 524 to 776 of the family's 1533-position model. The record is from RNAcentral.
UACGUAGGGGCCUAGCGUUGUCCGGAAUUAUUGGGCGUAAAGAGCUCGUAGGCGGUUCGGCAAGUCGGAUGUGAAAUCUCCACGCUUAACGUGGAGGGGCCAUUCGAAACUGCUGUGACUCGAGUCCGGUAGGGGGGUGUGGAAUUCCCGGUGUAGCGGUGAAAUGCGCAGAUAUCGGGAGGAACACCAAUGGCGAAAGCAGCUCUCUGGGACGGUACUGACGCUGAGACGCGAAAGCGUGGGGAGCGAACAGG